This 1268-nucleotide ribosomal RNA is filed under the name uncultured bacterium. Its description in RNAcentral is "bacterial SSU rRNA". It matches the Rfam family "Bacterial small subunit ribosomal RNA", at positions 94 to 1383 of the family's 1533-position model. The record is from RNAcentral.
AGUGGCGGACGGGUGAGUAACGCGUGGAUAAUUUGCCUCAUACAGGGGGAUAACAGUUAGAAAUGACUGCUAAUACCGCAUAAGCGCACGGUACCGCAUGGUACAGUGUGAAAAACUCCGGUGGUAUGAGAUGGAUCCGCGUCUGAUUAGCUAGUUGGCGGGGUAACGGCCCACCAAGGCGACGAUCAGUAGCCGACCUGAGAGGGUGACCGGCCACAUUGGGACUGAGACACGGCCCAAACUCCUACGGGAGGCAGCAGUGGGGAAUAUUGCACAAUGGGGGAAACCCUGAUGCAGCGACGCCGCGUGAGUGUAGAAGUAUUUCGGUAUGUAAAGCUCUAUCAGCAGGGAAGAAAAUGACGGUACCUGACUAAGAAGCCCCGGCUAACUACGUGCCAGCAGCCGCGGUAAUACGUAGGUGGCAAGCGUUGUCCGGAAUUACUGGGUGUAAAGGGCGCGUAGACGGGCAAAUAAGUCAGAUGUGAAAUACCGGGGCUCAACUCCGGGGCUGCAUUUGAAACUAUUUGUCUUGAGUGCAGGAGAGGGAAGCGGAAUUCCUAGUGUAGCGGUAAAAUGCGUAGAUAUUAGGAGGAACACCAGUGGCGAAGGCGGCUUUCUGGACUGUAACUGACGUUGAGGCGCGAAAGCGUGGGUAGCAAACAGGAUUAGAUACCCUGGUAGUCCACGCUGUAAACGAUGAUUACUAGGUGUGGGAGGUAUCGACUCCUUCCGUGCCGGAGUUAACACAAUAAGUAAUCCACCUGGGGAGUACGACCGCAAGGUUGAAACUCAAAGGAAUUGACGGGGGCCCGCACAAGCAGUGGAUUAUGUGGUUUAAUUCGACGCAACGCGAAGAACCUUACCAGGACUUGACAUCCUACUAACGAAGCAGAGAUGCAUUAGGUGCCCUUCGGGGAAAGUAGAGACAGGUGGUGCAUGGUUGUCGUCAGCUCGUGUCGUGAGAUGUUGGGUUAAGUCCCGCAACGAGCGCAACCCCUAUUGUUAGUUGCUACGCAAGAGCACUCUAGCGAGACUGCCGUUGACAAAACGGAGGAAGGCGGGGACGACGUCAAAUCAUCAUGCCCCUUAUGUCCUGGGCUACACACGUAAUACAAUGGCCGUCAACAAAGGGAAGCAAAGCCGCGAGGUGGAGCAAACCCCCAAAAACGGUCUCAGUUCGGAUUGCAGGCUGCAACUCGCCUGCAUGAAGCUGGAAUUGCUAGUAAUCGCGGAUCAGCAUGCCGCGGUGAAUACGUUCCCGGGCCUUG